GACGAACGCUGGCGGCGUGCUUAACACAUGCAAGUCGAACGAUGAAGAAGAGAAACGCGAACUUCGGUUCAAAUUUCACUUCGGUUUAGUGGCAGACGGGUGAGUAAAGCGUGAGCAACCUACCUCUUACAAAGGGAUAGCCUCGGGAAACCGUGAUUAAUACCAUAUGACACAUUCAUAAGGCAUCUUAAGAAUGUUAAAGCUACGGCGGUAAGCGAUGGGCUCGCGUCCCAUUAGCUAGUUGGUGCGGUAACGGCCCACCAAGGCGACGAUGGGUAACCGGCCUGAGAGGGUGAACGGUCACAGUGGAACUGAGACACGGUCCAAACUCCUACGGGAGGCAGCAGUGGGGAAUAUUGCACAAUGGAGGGAACUCUGAUGCAGCGACGCCGCGUGAGCGAUGAAGGAAUUCGUUUCGUAAAGCUCUGUUCUAUGGGAAGAAAAGGACUGUACCAUAGGAGAAAGCCCCGGCUAAAUACGUG
Molecule: ribosomal RNA, 482 nt
Filed under: uncultured bacterium
Lineage: Bacteria
Description: partial 16S ribosomal RNA
Rfam family: Bacterial small subunit ribosomal RNA
Source: RNAcentral